GAUGAACGCUGGCGGCGUGCUUAACACAUGCAAGUCGAACGAACCUUCGGGUUAGUGGCGGGCGGGUGAGUAACGCGUGAGAAUCUGCCCUCAGGAGGGGGAUAACGGUUGGAAACGACCGCUAAUACCCCAUAUGCCGAUAGGUGAAAUGAGUUUCGCCUGAGGAUGAGCUCGCGUCUGAUUAGCUUGUUGGUGAGGUAAUGGCUCACCAAGGCUUCGAUCAGUAGCUGGUCUGAGAGGAUGAUCAGCCACACUGGGACUGAGACACGGCCCAGACUCCUACGGGAGGCAGCAGUGGGGAAUUUUCCGCAAUGGGCGAAAGCCUGACGGAGCAACGCCGCGUGAGGGACGAAGGCCUCUGGGCUGUAAACCUCUUUUCUCAAGGAAGAAGAUAUGACGGUACUUGAGGAAUAAGCCACGGCUAAUUCCGUGCCAGCAGCCGCGGUAAUACGGGAGUGGCAAGCGUUAUCCGGAAUUAUUGGGCGUAAAGCGUCCGCAGGCGGCCUUUCAAGUCUGCUGUUAAAGCGUGGAGCUUAACUCCAUCAUGGCAGUGGAAACUGAUAGGCUUGAGUAUGGUAGGGGCAGAGGGAAUUCCCGGUGUAGCGGUGAAAUGCGUAGAUAUCGGGAAGAACACCAGUGGCGAAGGCGCUCUGCUGGGCCAUUACUGACGCUCAUGGACGAAAGCCAGGGGAGCGAAAGGGAUUAGAUACCCCUGUAGUCCUGGCCGUAAACGAUGAACACUAGGUGUCGGGGGAAUCGACCCCUUCGGUGUCGUAGCUAACGCGUUAAGUGUUCCGCCUGGGGAGUACGCACGCAAGUGUGAAACUCAAAGGAAUUGACGGGGGCCCGCACAAGCGGUGGAGUAUGUGGUUUAAUUCGAUGCAACGCGAAGAACCUUACCAGGGUUUGACAUCCUGAGAACCUCUUAGAAAUUUGAGGGUGCCUUCGGGAAUUCAGUGACAGGUGGUGCAUGGCUGUCGUCAGCUCGUGUCGUGAGAUGUUGGGUUAAGUCCCGCAACGAGCGCAACCCACGUUUUUAGUUGCCAGCAUUUAGUUGGGCACUCUAGAAAGACCGCCGGUGAUAAACCGGAGGAAGGUGUGGAUGACGUCAAGUCAUCAUGCCCCUUACACCCUGGGCUACACACGUACUACAAUGCUACGGACAAAGGGCAGCAAACUCGCGAGAGCUAGCAAAUCCCAUAAACCGUGGCUCAGUUCAGAUCGUAGGCUGCAACUCGCCUACGUGAAGUAGGAAUCGCUAGUAAUCGCAGGUCAGCAUACUGCGGUGAAUACGUUCCCGGGCCUUGUACACACCGCCCGUC
RNAcentral lists this ribosomal RNA (1322 nucleotides) under uncultured bacterium. Its description in RNAcentral is "bacterial SSU rRNA". It matches the Rfam family "Bacterial small subunit ribosomal RNA", at positions 28 to 1398 of the family's 1533-position model. The record is from RNAcentral.